GUAAUAAUGCAAUUCAGUUAUUUUACAUUUUCUGGACUAAAGGAGGAUUUCAGUUCAACACCUGUGGUUUCUUAAUUUUUUCACUUAGUUCCACUACUGCUGUGGAUUUUAUAGUCAAUGUUUAAAGCCAACAGAGUCUGAAGCGAUGGAGGAAAUUUACGUCAAUAUGGAACCUGUUGGACAAACUGCAUCUAAUCACACAGGUAAGAGCAAAGUUACAGAGAAAUUUAAUGUGUAUUGAAUUCAAUUUUGCUAAGGUUGAGGUUUUUGUUAAGGUUGGAGCAGCUCCAAAGAGAGGCUCUGCCUCCAUGCGGCUGUAUGUUUGGGAAUCCUGAAUGUUUUACUUUUGGCUGAACUCAUCGCCCUCAGUGUUCACACUCAUCACAUGACAGCAGAUUUUUCUGACAUCAGCAACAUUCUGACCGAGCAGAACAGCAGCAGCAAGUUUCCCUCCAUGAACGCUAACUUCACUGAAACGGCUCCACGAGCUGAAGACACUUUAAGGGAAAUUGUGUCCUACAGAACGAACAAACAUCAGUUGUUCCUGUUCAUCCAGGGGCUGCUGAAGAAGAGAAGAGCAGAUCCACUAGUGAUGGAUGAUUAGGAUCUGUGUUCACUGUGAUAUUAUUCACCAACAAUAAUGUAGCUUACGGUGUUACAUAAAAUCCUAAAGAUAAAAUGUUCACUUCCAACUGUUGUGACCUGCAUUUAAUAACACAACAAUUUUACCGGUUGUACUCUGUGUUUUUCUUUCUUGUUAAAACUCUGACGUGAUAAACAAAUGUUAGAGGAUGGUUUUGUGCGGAGGAUCGGUUUAGCAUGAUGCGCUCUGAAUGUGUCUAAAUGUGACUUUUACUACGAAACUUUAUGGAGUUCCAGUUGUGUCCGGUAAUAGAGGAUUAAAUUCUAUCUUGGUAGAAUUAUAUUUCUACAUUUCCAAUUAUUUACUAUCAUUUGUAAUAAAGUGAUGCCAACACCA
Long non-coding RNA from Xiphophorus couchianus (Monterrey platyfish), 979 nucleotides. RefSeq lists it as uncharacterized. NCBI's taxonomy places the organism in Eukaryota, Metazoa, Chordata, Actinopteri, Cyprinodontiformes, Poeciliidae. The record is from RefSeq and is a predicted model, not a curated record. The transcript is spliced from 4 exons.